Molecule: long non-coding RNA, 715 nt
Organism: Marmota monax (woodchuck)
Lineage: Eukaryota; Metazoa; Chordata; Mammalia; Rodentia; Sciuridae
Exons: 2
Source: RefSeq, a predicted model, not a curated record
UCAGGACAGGCAGGUCGCACCAAGCCACUCAACUUGGGCUGGAGCCUGGCUGAGGGCCUCCUGACCUUGACUUUCAAGACACCCGAACUCAGAGAUGGGGGCUUAGACCUGCUUCUCCACUCGGUCUCCUCUUCUGACACUGGGGACUACUUGUCCUGGCUCAGUUUCUCCAGAGGGGGCUGAACCGGGGAGUUGGUGAGGACUCCUCCCCUGUUGGACUCUGACUCCUCUGUCCCUCAGCCAGGGAGGCCAGCAGCCUGCAGAGUGGCUGGGCUCCUGAGGGCAGGAAAGUUUCCCUGGAGUGCUGGUGUUGCAGAGCAUGGCGCACAGACAGGGGACAGCCCAGCCUUGGAGCACGCACCACCUGGGUCUCAGCCUCUCUUUCCACAUCUACACGGAACUAGCCUCUCCAGAUGAUGCAUGAAAGACCGAGAGGGAAGGAAGAAGGACCCCCACUGAAGGAUAUGGAAAUAUCCUUUUAAACACAUGUCCCAGGCCCCAGGAAGAAAAGGAGGACAAUGGGUUCCAGGGACAGAAGGAAAACAUGGGCUCUGGACUCCCUCAGUAUCCUGCAUCUACAACUGUCCCCCCGACUGCCCAACACAUUCUGCUGUGAAUCAGUCUCACUAAACCCUAUAAAGCUCAGAUCCCUCUUGUACCACUUGCCAUUUUUUCUCUUGAAAAUGUGCUUAAUAAAGCAUGGCUGAUCCGUCGA